RNAcentral lists this ribosomal RNA (196 nucleotides) under uncultured bacterium. RNAcentral describes it as "partial 16S ribosomal RNA". It matches the Rfam family "Bacterial small subunit ribosomal RNA", at positions 1305 to 1500 of the family's 1533-position model. The record is from RNAcentral.
CUGCAACUCGCCUGCAUGAAGUCGGAAUUGCUAGUAAUCGUAGGUCAGCAUACUACGGUGAAUACGUUCCCGGGCCUUGUACACACCGCCCGUCAAACCAUGAGAGUUGGCAACACCCGAAGUCGGUAGUCUAACCGCAAGGAGGACGCCGCCGAAGGUGGGGUUGAUGAUUAGGGUUAAGUCGUAACAAGGUACC